Long non-coding RNA from Corapipo altera (White-ruffed manakin), 534 nucleotides. RefSeq lists it as uncharacterized. The transcript is spliced from 2 exons. The record is from RefSeq and is a predicted model, not a curated record. Lineage: Eukaryota; Metazoa; Chordata; Aves; Passeriformes; Pipridae.
GCCCCCGCGUCGAUCCCAUUCCUGCGCUCCCCGCGGCUUCCCCUGGACGGGAAUCAGAAAGGCCUCAAGCUCCGCAUUCACUCCUGCUGCCUCUUGGGACAAGGGGCAUUUCCAAACCACUGACGCAGGCAGCUGUGGUGACAGGUAACCCACCCCCAGAUCUGUAUGGAGAAGCAUUACACCACUUUACUAAGGAAGUCUUUUUAAUUCCAGGUGAAACAAGAACUCCACUCCUCCUGCUAUUCGUGAGGGCUUUACCUCUGACGUAACUUUCCAGCCGUCAGGUUUCCCCCUGCUGUUCUGUUCUGAACCAAAAUGAAAAAUGCCCAGCAAUCUUCACUUCUCCCGAGAUUUUCAACAUUUCACAGAAGUGUGGAAGUAACCCCUGGCCUGGCCUUGAGAGUGGGAUAAAUGACCCCAGGAAUGAGGCUGACAAAGAGGAAGCUUCUUUCUGUGCCCUUUGCAGGUCGCAGCUAAUGUACAUUCCUGCUGUGGAGUAAAACCCUCCCUAAGAAAUAAACCCACUUCACACCA